This 69-nucleotide transfer RNA is filed under the name Thryssa kammalensis (Kammal thryssa). Its description in RNAcentral is "tRNA-Phe". It matches the Rfam family "tRNA". From Rfam's summary of the family: Transfer RNA (tRNA) molecules are approximately 80 nucleotides in length. Their secondary structure includes four short double-helical elements and three loops (D, anti-codon, and T loops). Lineage: Eukaryota; Metazoa; Chordata; Actinopteri; Clupeiformes; Engraulidae. The record is from RNAcentral.
GCUCAUGUAGCUUAAAUCAAAGCAUAGCACUGAAGAUGCUAAGAUGAAUCCUAAAAAAUUCCAUAAGCA